AUGCCGUGAAAGCGUGUACAGACGAGGCCCUUACCAGUGGAGAAAGAACAGAGGUCUGCCUUCCACUUUACACAAACAUGAUGGCUCUACACCAGCUCCUGGAGAGGUAAAGCUCAAUGAGCAGACAACUGUGCUAAAGUCAGUCCUCACAGUGUCUGAGCCCCGUCUCCUCCUUCUUCUUCUUAGGGAUGAGGAGGCAGUGGAGCUUUGUAAAAGCUUACUGGAGUCCUGUCCCACAAACUGCCAGUUAUUGGAAACCCUCGCAGCUUUGUAUUUGAAAACAGAUUGUUAUGACAAAGCCCGAUGGGUUUGGCUUACUGCAUUUGAAAAUAAUCCUCAGAAUGCGGAAAUUUUUUAUCAUCUCUGCAAAUUUUUCAUCUUGCAGAACGGAGGUGAUAAGCUUCUUCCACUUUUGAGACAAUUUAUUGGAUCCUUCUUUAAACCUGGCUUUGAGAAGUAUAGUAAUGUGGAUUUAUUUCGGUAUCUCUUAAAUAUCCCAGGACCACUUGACAUUCCAGCGUGCUUAUGUAAAGGAAAUUUUGAUGAUGAUGUAUUUAACAACCAAGUCCCUUAUUUAUGGCUGAUUUACUGCCUUUGUCAUCCUCUUCAGUCAAGUAUUAAAGAGACAAUAGAAGCAUAUGAAGCAGCAUUAGGGGUGGCCAUGAGGUCUGAUAUCGUGCAGAAGAUUUGGAUGGAUUAUCUUGUCUUUGCCAAUAAUAGAGCUGCUGGAUCCAGAAAUAAAGUCCAAGAAUUCAAAUUUUUUACUGACUUAGUGAAUAGAUGUUUGGUUACGGUCCCUGCCCGAUACCCCAUCCCUUUUAGCAGUGCUGAUUACUGGUCCAACUAUGAAUUUCAUAAUCGG
Molecule: long non-coding RNA, 862 nt
Filed under: Rattus norvegicus (Norway rat)
Lineage: Eukaryota; Metazoa; Chordata; Mammalia; Rodentia; Muridae
Description: long non-coding RNA NONRATT025805
Source: RNAcentral